UACGGGGGGGGCAAGCGUUGUUCGGAAUUACUGGGCGUAAAGGGCUCGUAGGUGGCCAACUAAGUCAGACGUGAAAUCCCUCGGCUUAACCGGGGAACUGCGUCUGAUACUGGAUGGCUUGAGUUCGGGAGAGGUGAGUGGAAUUCCCAGUGUAGCGGUGAAAUGCGUAGAUAUUGGGAGGAACACCAGUGGCGAAGGCGGCUCACUGGACCGGUACUGACGCUGAUGCGCGAAAGCGUGGGGAGCAAACGGG
This 253-nucleotide ribosomal RNA is filed under the name uncultured bacterium. RNAcentral describes it as "partial 16S ribosomal RNA". It matches the Rfam family "Bacterial small subunit ribosomal RNA", at positions 524 to 776 of the family's 1533-position model. The record is from RNAcentral.